Molecule: ribosomal RNA, 748 nt
Filed under: Dactylosternum riberai
Lineage: Eukaryota; Metazoa; Arthropoda; Insecta; Coleoptera; Hydrophilidae
Description: SSU rRNA
Rfam family: Eukaryotic small subunit ribosomal RNA
Source: RNAcentral
AGGCGGCAGGCGCGCAAAUUACCCACUCCCGGCACGGGGAGGUAGUGACGAAAAAUAACGAUACGGGACUCAUCCGAGGCCCCGUAAUCGGAAUGAGUACACUCUAAACCCUUUAACGAGGAUCAAUUGGAGGGCAAGUCUGGUGCCAGCAGCCGCGGUAAUUCCAGCUCCAAUAGCGUAUAUUAAAGUUGUUGCGGUUAAAAAGCUCGUAGUCGAAUCUGUGUCUCGCGCCGCCGGUUCAUCGCUCGCGGUGUCUAACUGGCGUGUCGCGGGACGUCCUGCCGGUGGGCUUUGCCUCUCGGGGCGGCCCAACUUAGAAUCCCACCGCGGUGCUCUUCGCUGAGUGUCGAGGUGGGCCGGCACGUUUACUUUGAACAAAUUAGAGUGCUUAAAGCAGGCUAAAAUUUCGCCUGAAUAUUCUGUGCAUGGAAUAAUGGAAUAGGACCUCGGUUCUAUUUUGUUGGUUUUCGGAACCCCGAGGUAAUGAUUAAUAGGAACGGAUGGGGGCAUUCGUAUUGCGACGUUAGAGGUGAAAUUCUUGGAUCGUCGCAAGACGAACAGAAGCGAAAGCAUUUGCCAAAAACGUUUUCAUUGAUCAAGAACGAAAGUUAGAGGUUCGAAGGCGAUCAGAUACCGCCCUAGUUCUAACCAUAAACGAUGCCAGCUAGCGAUCCGCCGACGUUCCUCCGAUGACUCGGCGGGCAGCUUCCGGGAAACCAAAGCUUUUGGGUUCCGGGGGAAGUAUGGU